GGUUAAGCGACUAAGCGUACACGGUGGAUGCCCUGGCAGUCAGAGGCGAUGAAGGACGUGCUAAUCUGCGAAAAGCGUCGGUAAGGUGAUAUGAACCGUUAUAACCGGCGAUGUCCGAAUGGGGAAACCCAGUGCAAUUCGUUGCACUAUCGUUAACUGAAUACAUAGGUUAACGAGGCGAACCGGGGGAACUGAAACAUCUAAGUACCCCGAGGAAAAGAAAUCAACCGAGAUUCCCCCAGUAGCGGCGAGCGAACGGGGAGCAGCCCAGAGUCUGAAUCAGCUUGUGUGUUAGUGGAACGGUCUGGAAAGUCCGACGGUACAGGGUGAUAGUCCCGUACACCAAAAUGCACAGGUUGUGAACUCGAAGAGUAGGGCGGGACACGUGGUAUCCUGUCUGAAUAUGGGGGGACCAUCCUCCAAGGCUAAAUACUCCUGAAUGACCGAUAGUGAACCAGUACCGUGAGGGAAAGGCGAAAAGAACCCCGGCGAGGGGAGUGAAAAAGAACCUGAAACCGUGUACGUACAAGCAGUGGGAGCACCUUCGGGUGUGACUGCGUACCUUUUGUAUAAUGGGUCAGCGACUUAUAUUCUGUAGCAAGGUUAACCGUAUAGGGGAGCCGCAGGGAAACCGAGUCUUAACUGGGCGUUAAGUUGCAGGGUAUAGACCCGAAACCCGGUGAUCUAGCCAUGGGCAGGUUGAAGGUUGGGUAACACUAACUGGAGGACCGAACCGACUAAUGUUGAAAAAUUAGCGGAUGACUUGUGGCUGGGGGUGAAAGGCCAAUCAAACCGGGAGAUAGCUGGUUCUCCCCGAAAGCUAUUUAGGUAGCGCCUCGUGAAUUCAUCUUCGGGGGUAGAGCACUGUUUCGGCUAGGGGGUCAUCCCGACUUACCAACCCGAUGCAAACUACGAAUACCGAAGAAUGUUAUCACGGGAGACACACGGCGGGUGCUAACGUCCGUCGUGAAGAGGGAAACAACCCAGACCGCCAGCUAAGGUCCCAAAGUCAUGGUUAAGUGGGAAACGAUGUGGGAAGGCACAGACAGCCAGGAUGUUGGCUUAGAAGCAGCCAUCAUUUAAAGAAAGCGUAAUAGCUCACUGGUCGAGUCGGCCUGCGCGGAAGAUGUAACGGGGCUAAACCAUGCACCGAAGCUGCGGCAGCGACACUAUGUGUUGUUGGGUAGGGGAGCGUUCUGUAAGCCUGCGAAGGUGUGCUGUGAGGCAUGCUGGAGGUAUCAGAAGUGCGAAUGCUGACAUAAGUAACGAUAAAGCGGGUGAAAAGCCCGCUCGCCGGAAGACCAAGGGUUCCUGUCCAACGUUAAUCGGGGCAGGGUGAGUCGACCCCUAAGGCGAGGCCGAAAGGCGUAGUCGAUGGGAAACAGGUUAAUAUUCCUGUACUUGGUGUUACUGCGAAGGGGGGACGGAGAAGGCUAUGUUAGCCGGGCGACGGUUGUCCCGGUUUAAGCAUGUAGGCUGAUUGUCCAGGCAAAUCCGGAUAAUCAAGGCUGAGGUGUGAUGACGAGGCACUACGGUGCUGAAGUAACAAAUGCCCUGCUUCCAGGAAAAGCCUCUAAGCAUCAGGUAACAUCAAAUCGUACCCCAAACCGACACAGGUGGUCAGGUAGAGAAUACCAAGGCGCUUGAGAGAACUCGGGUGAAGGAACUAGGCAAAAUGGUGCCGUAACUUCGGGAGAAGGCACGCUGGUGUGUAGGUGAAGUCCCUGCGGAUGGAGCUGAGACCAGUCGAAGAUACCAGCUGGCUGCAACUGUUUAUUAAAAACACAGCACUGUGCAAACACGAAAGUGGACGUAUACGGUGUGACGCCUGCCCGGUGCCGGAAGGUUAAUUGAUGGGGUUAUCCGUAAGGAGAAGCUCUUGAUCGAAGCCCCGGUAAACGGCGGCCGUAACUAUAACGGUCCUAAGGUAGCGAAAUUCCUUGUCGGGUAAGUUCCGACCUGCACGAAUGGCGUAAUGAUGGCCAGGCUGUCUCCACCCGAGACUCAGUGAAAUUGAACUCGCUGUGAAGAUGCAGUGUACCCGCGGCAAGACGGAAAGACCCCGUGAACCUUUACUAUAGCUUGACACUGAACAUUGAGCCUUGAUGUGUAGGAUAGGUGGGAGGCUUUGAAGCGUGGACGCCAGUCUGCGUGGAGCCAACCUUGAAAUACCACCCUUUAAUGUUUGAUGUUCUAACGUUGGCCCCUGACCGGGGUUGCGGACAGUGUCUGGUGGGUAGUUUGACUGGGGCGGUCUCCUCCCAAAGCGUAACGGAGGAGCACGAAGGUUAGCUAAUCCUGGUCGGACAUCAGGAGGUUAGUGCAAUGGCAUAAGCUAGCUUGACUGCGAGCGUGACGGCGCGAGCAGGUGCGAAAGCAGGUCAUAGUGAUCCGGUGGUUCUGAAUGGAAGGGCCAUCGCUCAACGGAUAAAAGGUACUCCGGGGAUAACAGGCUGAUACCGCCCAAGAGUUCAUAUCGACGGCGGUGUUUGGCACCUCGAUGUCGGCUCAUCACAUCCUGGGGCUGAAGUAGGUCCCAAGGGUAUGGCUGUUCGCCAUUUAAAGUGGUACGCGAGCUGGGUUUAGAACGUCGUGAGACAGUUCGGUCCCUAUCUGCCGUGGGCGCUGGAGAAUUGAGGGGGGCUGCUCCUAGUACGAGAGGACCGGAGUGGACGCAUCACUGGUGUUCGGGUUGUCAUGCCAAUGGCACUGCCCGGUAGCUAAAUGCGGAAGAGAUAAGUGCUGAAAGCAUCUAAGCACGAAACUUGCCCCGAGAUGAGUUCUCCCUGAGACUAUAAGUCUCCUGAAGGAACGUUAAAGACGAUGACGUUGAUAGGCCGGGUGUGUAAGCGCAGCGAUGCGUUGAGCUAACCGGUACUAAUGAACCGUGAGGCUUAACCUU
This 2902-nucleotide ribosomal RNA is filed under the name Klebsiella pneumoniae. RNAcentral describes it as "23S ribosomal RNA". It matches the Rfam family "Bacterial large subunit ribosomal RNA". The record is from RNAcentral. Lineage: Bacteria; Pseudomonadati; Pseudomonadota; Gammaproteobacteria; Enterobacterales; Enterobacteriaceae.